GGGGUUGUAGCUCAGCUGGGAGAGCGCUUGCUUCGCAUGUAAGAGGUCGCGGGUUCGAAUCCCGUCAUCUCCACCA
Molecule: transfer RNA, 76 nt
Filed under: Candidatus Izemoplasmatales bacterium
Lineage: Bacteria; Bacillati; Mycoplasmatota; Mollicutes; Candidatus Izemoplasmatales
Description: tRNA-Ala
Rfam family: tRNA
About the family: Transfer RNA (tRNA) molecules are approximately 80 nucleotides in length.
Source: RNAcentral